GUACACGCUGUGACUAGCAUAUCAAUAAGCGGAGGAAAAGAAACUAACAAGGAUUCCCCUAGUAACGGCGAGUGAAGCGGGAAGAGCUCAAAUUUGAAAUCUUAAAGGGUUUCCCUUUACGAAUUGUAGUUUAAAGAAGUGUUUUCUGUUGAGGUUUUGGUAAAAGUUCUUUGGAAUAGGACAUCAUAGAGGGUGGAGAAUCCCGUAUUUGACCUUUACUUUCAACUUUGUGAUACACUUUCAAAGAGUCGGAUUGUUUGGGAAUAGCAGUCCAAAAUGGGUGGUAAAUUUCAUCUAAAGCUAAAGUAUUGGCGAGAGACCGAUAGCGAACAAGUACCGUGAGGGAAAGAUGAAAAGAACUUUGAAAAGAGAGUUAAACAGUACGUGAAAUUGUCAAAAGGGAAGCGUUUGACUACCAGUGUUGUUUUUCUGAAAAUCAAUUAAAGAACUGUUUAUGCUAAGUUGUUUAGACUUUAUCAGCUAACUGUUUAGUUUUGAGCUUUUCUUUAGUGCACUUUUCAGUUAACAAGUCAACAUCAAUUUCUUUUGCUGUAAAAAAGCUUGAGGAAGGUGGCUUGAGAUUCGUCUUAAGUGUUUAUAGCCUCUUGCCUAUGCAGUCGGAGAGAUUGAGGUCUGCAGCGUAGAUCCUUCGGGGCUAAAUGCAUUUGUGCUAAGUUAUAGCAUUUUAUAGACAACUUGUUGACUAUGAUUUGUCUUGUAGCUUACUCGCUUAUGUUAUUUUACCUACGCUUAGGAUGUUGACAGCAGUAUAGACUGU
RNAcentral lists this ribosomal RNA (778 nucleotides) under uncultured Neocallimastigales. Its description in RNAcentral is "partial large subunit ribosomal RNA". It matches the Rfam family "Eukaryotic large subunit ribosomal RNA", at positions 22 to 644 of the family's 3401-position model. The record is from RNAcentral. Lineage: Eukaryota; Fungi; Neocallimastigomycota; Neocallimastigomycetes; Neocallimastigales.